UAGAUAUAGCCCAUGUAUAUUAGAUGGUUCCUUAGUAUUUAUAGAAUAUUUAUUAUAUAGGUAUUCCUCAGCAGCCAAAUGAGAACAAUCACAUUAGCAGCAUUUCAAUAAGAUUAACUUGAGCAAAUCGCCACUGACAGUCUGACAAAGUAUAUAUCAGCGAUGAUGGCAGAUUUUUGUCUUGCUUAAAUUUGUUAUUCUAGCAGAUAAUUGCAGAAGGCGAACAAAAUACCGCAAUAAGGCGGGUCGGAAUUUAUCUCUGUUUACACAUUUAUGUUCGUGACAAGUGAAUUGUAUCUACUUUUUCGUGGGAAAAAAUAAUAAUAUUUUGUUAUAGUAAAUAUAUUGCAAGAGGUAUAAUAUCAAUGUCGACUACUAACUGCUCGGCAUCGUAAAACCGCUUACUUUAUAUCCUCUAGUCGUAUUUGUAUGUAUGAAUAUUAGUGCAUAUCUCACUUGUACUCAUUGUAAAUAUAAUAUAUGUUUGUGUCAAAACAAAGGCGAUCCAACCUAACCAGGAGAUUUAUUUCAAGUACUCACACACAAAUGCACAAACAAUACAUUUAAUUUGAAAAUACAUGUAUAGUAAGUACUUAAGUGAAGACAAUUAGAAAUACUUUGUGUUUAUUUUCUUAAAAUUUAAAAUUUUACUAAAUGCUCGUACAUACAUAUCUACUCGUAUUUAUUUUCAUUUGCAGGUGUCACAUUGGCAGCGAGUAUAUUUGGGAACCACCGACCAAGAGUGACUCAUCCUAUGAGUAAUUUGGGUUAGUUAGUGAUUGAUUUAAAAAAAAAUAGAUAAACAAAUAUACCGGGACUUUAGCGUUUCAUGUAAACACUGCGGCAAGCUCAACCUUUCUUCUCAGCUAGCGGUUGGAAAAGUGUAGAACGUUUAUGAUGAUCACUUUUGCAGCUACGGCUCAGAUAGUCCAUCCGUUGAGUUCAAACUUCAAUGAUUCGUUCGAGCAUUUCGACUGGUAACUGAGAAUGACACACGUGCUGUUUUGUUCCAAGGCGUGAAUCGAAGCGGAAUUGUCCGCAUAUGCUUUAGACUUUACAUAUCAGCAGAGGAAACAGUCUAACGGUGUGAUAUCACACGAUCUUGGUGGCAACUCGACCAGCUCAAAACGUGAAAUUAUCUGCCGACCGAAGUAUUUUCUCAAUAAAUUCAUUGUUGAAACCAAAUCUCAUCGAAAUGACGAGCUUCAAUUUCAGGCAUCAAAUCAUCACACACACCGCUUACGCGAUUAUAGCCGAGUCAACAACAGCGCGCCAGUCGUUUCUUCUCUUCGCUACGUGGCGCCAAUUGGAUAUUCCAAGGGAGGCCAGGUCCUUCUCCACUUGGUCCUUCCAACGGAGUGGAGGUCUUCCUCUUCCUCUGCUUCCCGCGGCGGGUACUGCGUCGAACACUUUCAGAGCUGGAGUGUUUUCAUCCAUCCGGACAACAUGACCUAGCCAGCGUAGCCGCUGUCUUUUAAUUCGCUGAACUAUGUCAAUGACGUCGUAUAUCUCGUACAGCUCAUCGUUCCAUCGAAUGCGAUAUUCGCCGUGGCCAACGCGCAAAGGACCAUAAAUCUUUCGCAGAACUUUUUUAUAAAUAAUAAGUCAUAAAAAAAAGGUGCGCACUAUUUAGUAACAAUUAUGACAAUUUGUAUAGAAAUGAAAUGUAUAAUAUAUCAUAUCAUCACAGCUUUACCUAUUGCUUACAGUUAUUAAAUACAUUCAGAAAGCUUAAUUGGAAACUUUUACAAUUUGAAAAUUUUGAAGCUUUGCGAGAAAGCUUUUUCAAAGCUUAUCUUUUAUAGCAAGUGUAUCAUAAAA
Molecule: long non-coding RNA, 1821 nt
Organism: Bactrocera dorsalis (oriental fruit fly)
Lineage: Eukaryota; Metazoa; Arthropoda; Insecta; Diptera; Tephritidae
Exons: 3
Source: RefSeq, a predicted model, not a curated record